Molecule: ribosomal RNA, 253 nt
Filed under: uncultured bacterium
Lineage: Bacteria
Description: partial 16S ribosomal RNA
Rfam family: Bacterial small subunit ribosomal RNA
Source: RNAcentral
UACGUAGGUGGCAAGCGUUAUCCGGAUUUAUUGGGUGUAAAGGGCGUGUAGGCGGGAGCGCAAGUCAGAUGUGAAAACUCAGGGCUCAACCCUGAGCCUGCAUUUGAAACUGUAUUUCUUGAGUGCUGGAGAGGCAAUCGGAAUUCCGUGUGUAGCGGUGAAAUGCGUAGAUAUACGGAGGAACACCAGUGGCGAAGGCGGAUUGCUGGACAGUAACUGACGCUGAGGCGCGAAAGCGUGGGGAGCAAACAGG